Molecule: ribosomal RNA, 468 nt
Filed under: uncultured bacterium
Lineage: Bacteria
Description: partial 16S ribosomal RNA
Rfam family: Bacterial small subunit ribosomal RNA
Source: RNAcentral
GACGAACGCUGGCGGCGUGCUUAACACAUGCAAGUCGAACGGAAAGGCCCUGCUUUUGUGGGGUGCUCGAGUGGCGAACGGGUGAGUAACACGUGAGUAACCUGCCCUUGACUUUGGGAUAACUUCAGGAAACUGGGGCUAAUACCGGAUAGGAGCUCCUGCUGCACGGUGGGGGUUGGAGAGUUUCGGCGGUUGGGGAUGGACUCGCGGCUUAUCGGCUUGUUGGUGGGGUAGUGGCUUACCAAGGCUUUGACGGGUAGCCGGCCUGAGAGGGUGACCGGCCACAUUGGGACUGAGAUACGGCCCAGACUCCUACGGGAGGCAGCAGUGGGGAAUAUUGCACAAUGGGCGGAAGCCUGAUGUAGCAACGCCGCGUGCGGGAUGACGGCCUUCGGGUUGUAAACCGCUUUCGCCUGUGACGAAGCGUGAGUGACGGUAAUGGGUAAAGAAGCACCGGCUAACUACGUG